GAUGAACGCUGGCGGCGUGCCUAAUACAUGCAAGUCGAACGCGAAGCCCGAUUUCGAUUGGGUGGAGAGUGGCGAACGGGUGAGUAACACAUGGCUGACCUGCCCCUCAGAGGGGGACAACCACGGGAAACUGUGGCUAAUACCCCGUACGCUCACGGUGGUUAGAGGCACCGUGAGGAAAGCUAUGGUGCUGAGGGAGGGGGCUGUGGCCCAUCAGCUAGUUGGCAGGGUAACGGCCUACCAAGGCGAGGACGGGUAGGGGGCCUGAGAGGGUGACCCCCCACACUGGAACUGAGAGACGGUCCAGACUCCUACGGGUGGCA
Molecule: ribosomal RNA, 323 nt
Filed under: uncultured Chloroflexota bacterium
Lineage: Bacteria; Bacillati; Chloroflexota
Description: bacterial SSU rRNA
Rfam family: Bacterial small subunit ribosomal RNA
Source: RNAcentral